GCUGGCUGCACAGACACUGAGCA
This 23-nucleotide non-coding RNA is filed under the name Cricetulus griseus (Chinese hamster). Lineage: Eukaryota; Metazoa; Chordata; Mammalia; Rodentia; Cricetidae. The record is from RNAcentral.